UGGGGAAUAUUGCACAAUGGGCGCAAGCCUGAUGCAGCCAUGCCGCGUGUGUGAAGAAGGCCUUCGGGUUGUAAAGCACUUUCAGCGAGGAGGAAGGUGGUGAACUUAAUACGUUCAUCAAUUGACGUUACUCGCAGAAGAAGCACCGGCUAACUCCGUGCCAGCAGCCACGGUAAUACGGAGGGUGCAAGCGUUAAUCGGAAUUACUGGGCGUAAAGCGCACGCAGGCGGUUUGUUAAGUCAGAUGUGAAAUCCCCGGGCUCAACCUGGGAACUGCAUUUGAAACUGGCAAGCUAGAGUCUCGUAGAGGGGGGUAGAAUUCCAGGUGUAGCGGUGAAAUGCGUAGAGAUCUGGAGGAAUACCGGUGGCGAAGGCGGCCCCCUGGACGAAGACUGACGCUCAGGUGCGAAAAGCGUGGGGAGCAAACAGGAUUAGAUACCCCUGGUAGUCCACGCUGUAAAACGAUGUCGAUUUUGGAGGUUGUGCCCUUGAGGCGUGGCUUCCGGAGCUAACGCGUUAAAUCGACCGCCUGGGGAGUACGGCCGCAAGGUUAAAACUCAAAUGAAUUGACGGGGUCAUAGCUGUUUCCU
Molecule: ribosomal RNA, 590 nt
Filed under: uncultured bacterium
Lineage: Bacteria
Description: partial 16S ribosomal RNA
Rfam family: Bacterial small subunit ribosomal RNA
Source: RNAcentral